ACCAACGCUGGCGGCAGGCCUAACACAUGCAAGUCGAACGGAUCCUUCGGGAUUAGUGGCAGACGGGUGAGUAACGCGUGGGAAGCUACCUUGUGGUAGGGAACAACAGUUGGAAACGACUGCUAAUACCCUAUGAGCCCUAUGGGGGAAAGAUUUAUCGCCAUGAGAUGUGCCCGCGUUAGAUUAGCUAGUUGGUAAGGUAAUGGCUUACCAAGGCGACGAUCUAUAGCUGGUCUGAGAGGAUGAUCAGCCACACUGGGACUGAGACACGGCCCAGACUCCUACGGGAGGCAGCAGUGGGGAAUAUUGGACAAUGGGGGCAACCCUGAUCCAGCCAUGCCGCGUGUGUGAUGACGGCCUUAGGGUUGUAAAGCACUUUCAGCAGUGAAGAUAAUGACAUUAACUGCAGAAGAAGCCCCGGCUAACUUCGUGCCAGCAGCCGCGGUAAUACGAAGGGGGCUAGCGUUGUUCGGAAUCACUGGGCGUAAAGCGUACGUAGGCGGACUGAUCAGUCAGGGGUGAAAUCCCGGGGCUCAACCCCGGAACUGCCUUUGAUACUGUCAGUCUUGAGAUCGAGAGAGGUGAGUGGAACUCCGAGUGUAGAGGUGAAAUUCGUAGAUAUUCGGAAGAACACCAGUGGCGAAGGCGGCUCACUGGCUCGAUACUGACGCUGAGGUACGAAAGCGUGGGGAGCAAACAGGAUUAGAUACCCUG
Molecule: ribosomal RNA, 714 nt
Filed under: alpha proteobacterium M36
Lineage: Bacteria; Pseudomonadati; Pseudomonadota; Alphaproteobacteria
Description: bacterial SSU rRNA
Rfam family: Bacterial small subunit ribosomal RNA
Source: RNAcentral